GUGCUCACUUCAGCAGCACAUAUACUAAAAUUGGAAUGAUACAGAGAUUAGCAUGGCCCCUGCACAAGGAUAACAUGCAAAUUCAUGAAGUGUUCCAUUUUUUU
This 104-nucleotide small nuclear RNA is filed under the name Vicugna pacos (alpaca). The record is from RNAcentral. Lineage: Eukaryota; Metazoa; Chordata; Mammalia; Artiodactyla; Camelidae.